UUUUGCUUUACCAAACGAAGGUCUGAAAGAGGGCGGCGAUGGAGAAAGCUGUGGUGGUGACCACGGCGGCGAUUUUCUGCUUCCUACUGCUUUCUGCGGCCACGGUGACCGUCUCCGCCGACGCUGCCGACUGCAUCGACGGCUGCUUCACCGCCUGUGUCCAGAGAGACACGAGACUGAUGCAGCGUUGUGAGGGCAAGUGUAGAAUUAAAUGCGGUCCAGAUAGUAAAGUUGAAGAUAUUACUGAUUGAGAGGGCAACUAGAGAGCUUCAAUGUGAAGGGAAACCAUAGCUUCCUCCAUUGUAAUUAAGAAAGAGAGAUGAGAAAGAAUAACUCUCCUAAGCCAAUGUCAUAUUUGUGGAUGCUACGUGUUGCAUUUUCUACUUUCACAUAGAAUAAGUCUUCUCCCAUGUUGGAUAUAUAUCUAUAUUUAUACUAUAUUAAAAGUAAGAUCUUGAAAAACUA
Non-coding RNA from Momordica charantia (bitter melon), 465 nucleotides. Lineage: Eukaryota; Viridiplantae; Streptophyta; Magnoliopsida; Cucurbitales; Cucurbitaceae. The record is from RefSeq and is a predicted model, not a curated record.